This 433-nucleotide ribosomal RNA is filed under the name uncultured bacterium. RNAcentral's name for it is "partial 16S ribosomal RNA". It matches the Rfam family "Bacterial small subunit ribosomal RNA", at positions 29 to 507 of the family's 1533-position model. The record is from RNAcentral.
AACGAACGCUGGCGGCAUGCCUAACACAUGCAAGUCGAACGAGACCUUCGGGUCUAGUGGCGCACGGGUGCGUAACGCGUGGGAACCUGCCCUUAGGUUCGGAAUAACUCCCCGACAGGGGUGCUAAUACCGGAUAAUGUCUUCGGACCAAAGAUUUAUCGCCUUUGGAUGGGCCCGCGUUGGAUUAGCUAGUUGGUAGGGUAAAAGCCUACCACGGCGACGAUCCAUAGCUGGUCUGAGAGGAUGAUCAGCCACACUGGGACUGGGACACGGCCCAGACUCCUACGGGAGGGAGCAGUGGGGAAUAUUGGACAAUGGGCGAAAGCCUGAUCCAGCAAGGCCGGGUGAGUGAUGAAGGCCUUAGGGUUGUAAAGCUCUUUUACCCGGGAUGAUAAUGACGGUACCGGGAGAAUAAGCUCCGGCUAACUCCGUG